GAUAAGGUGCCUGAAAAAUAGGGCCACUAUGAUAGAGUGGAAAAUGUGUAAUAUACACCUUUAUUA
This 66-nucleotide transfer RNA is filed under the name Atrocalopteryx melli. Its description in RNAcentral is "tRNA-Ile". The record is from RNAcentral. Lineage: Eukaryota; Metazoa; Arthropoda; Insecta; Odonata; Calopterygidae.